Molecule: long non-coding RNA, 362 nt
Filed under: Polistes fuscatus (common paper wasp)
Lineage: Eukaryota; Metazoa; Arthropoda; Insecta; Hymenoptera; Vespidae
Description: uncharacterized LOC122526740
Source: RNAcentral
UAUAAACUUACAAUUUUUCGAUCGAAUGUACCAGUUAAUACAUUAAUAUACUUAGUUGUUCCAUUGAUUUAUAAUAUAACCUUGAAUUAUGGUACACUCUUAUAUACCAUUGCAAAAGAAAGUGCUUUUCGCAUAAGCUAAAAGGAAUUUAAAUUAUCAGUAAAGCAGUCAAUGCAAUAUCAAUAAUAAUUUAAUACUUACCCCAGCAAAUACUUGGUGGGAUGAGACAAACAUAUUUCCGAUUGAUAGAAAGCACGGUUUUCCACUUCUAGCUAUUAUAAGUAGUAGCAAUUUUUGUGUAUGUAUAGAUAAUGUAUAAAACGGAACGUCACACCUAUAAACAAAUAUUCCAUUGUCAUCCU